AACCGGCGAACGGGUGCGUAACACGUGGAUAAUCUACCUUCCUGACUGGGACAACUGGCCGAAAGGCUUGCUAAUACCAGAUAAGCCCACGGGCGCUUCGGCGCUUGAGGGAAAAGGUGGCCUCUGCAAGCAAGCUAUCGCAGGGAGAUGAGUCCGCGGCCCAUCAGCUAGUUGGCGGGGUAAAAGCCCACCAAGGCUACGACGGGUAGCUGGUCUGAGAGGAUGAUCAGCCACACUGGAACUGAGACACGGUCCAGACUCCUACGGGAGGCAGCAGUGGGGAAUCUUGCGCAAUGGGCGAAAGCCUGACGCAGCAACGCCGCGUGUGUGAUGAAGGUCUUCGGAUCGUAAAGCACUGUCGCGAGGGAAGAUACGCCGAUGGCCAACAUCCAUCGGCUGAGACGGUACCUCGAGAGGAAGCACCGGCUAACUCUGUGCCAGCAGCCGCGGUAAUACAGAGGGUGCGAGCGUUGUUCGGAAUUAUUGGGCGUAAAGCGCUUGUAGGCGGCCUGUCAAGUCGCGUGUGAAAUCCCCUGGCUUAACCAGGGAAGUGCGCGCGAAACUGGCGGGCUUGAGUGCCGGAGAGGGUCGCGGAAUUCCCGGUGUAGAGGUGAAAUUCGUAGAUAUCGGGAGGAACACCAGUGGCGAAGGCGGCGACCUGGACGGACAC
Molecule: ribosomal RNA, 670 nt
Filed under: uncultured bacterium
Lineage: Bacteria
Description: bacterial SSU rRNA
Rfam family: Bacterial small subunit ribosomal RNA
Source: RNAcentral